Long non-coding RNA from Lycium ferocissimum, 950 nucleotides. RefSeq lists it as uncharacterized. Lineage: Eukaryota; Viridiplantae; Streptophyta; Magnoliopsida; Solanales; Solanaceae. The record is from RefSeq and is a predicted model, not a curated record. The transcript has 5 exons.
AUAUAGGAAUAUCUUUAUUUACUCUGCAACAAUUGUGCAAAGUAGUAGUGGAUGCGGCACUUUUUAACACUGACUUAAUUUUGUUUUUUGGCAUUUGGUUCAAUUUUGUGUUUUUGGCAAUGUUGAUGUGUUAACAUUAGAAAAUACCCUGAGAUUUUGGAUUCUUCAGUGGUAGGCACGGUUUCAUUGUGGCGAUCAUGGGUGUUGAAAGCGUUGGUAAAGGUCUAAUUCGUGGUGGAACUGGUUUUGUUACUUUCCCCGUGAAAUAUCAAUGUGUUGUAUUUCGACCUUUCAAAGGUGAAAUUUUGGAAGCCGUUGUAACCAUGGUUAACAAGAUUGGAUUUCUUGCUGAAUGCUGAAGCAGGGCCAGUGCAUAUUUUCGUUUCAAACCACGUGAGUUGGUUUUGUAUUCUAGAAUGUUAGAAGGCCAGAAUAUGUUGUUCUCUUCUGACUCUUAAGGUCAGUUGAUACCAGAUAACAUGGAGUUUCAGUCAGGAGAUGUGCCAAACUACACAACUUUCGAUGGCUCCGUCAAAUUUUAGAAGGAAAGUGAAGUUAGAUUGAAGAUCAUUGGAACUCAUGUUGACGCCACAAAAAUGGUUUUGCUGUGCGUUUGGAUUCAGAGUUUGUUCAGUUCAUUUCUACUUUGGAAUUAUCAUUCUACAUUAAAAUCUUCAAGAGCUUUACCUAUCAAAAAAUCUUUGACUUCUGGCUGUGUUUGAGCCGGUUGACAUCAUUUUCUUUUAACAUGAAGUUUUAGAUAUUUCAAAGACAGACUUCGGUAUAUUAUUUGUGUUUAUGAGUCGAUUUUUCUUAACCAAUGCAAGUUAUUGUAUCAUGUAUUCCAAGUGCUUUGCUGGAGAUUGCAAGACUUUGUUACAGUGGUCUUUCUGAAUAUUUUCUUCAGCGGUACUGAUUAUCUGGACAAUCAAGUUGAUGAUUUUGUGUUG